Molecule: ribosomal RNA, 253 nt
Filed under: uncultured bacterium
Lineage: Bacteria
Description: partial 16S ribosomal RNA
Rfam family: Bacterial small subunit ribosomal RNA
Source: RNAcentral
UACGUAGGGUGCAAGCGUUAAUCGGAAUUACUGGGCGUAAAGCGUGCGCAGGCGGUUAUGUAAGACAGAUGUGAAAUGCCCGGGCUUAACCUGGGAACUGCAUUUGUGACUGCAUGGCUAGAGUUUGGCAGAGGGGGGUAGAAUUCCACGUGUAGCAGUGAAAUGCGUAGAUAUGUGGAGGGACACCGAUGGCGAAGGCAGCCCCCUGGGUCAAGACUGACGCUCAUGCACGAAAGCGUGGGGAGCGAACAGG